AUACGGAGGAUGCGAGCGUUAUCCGGAUUUAUUGGGUUUAAAGGGAGCGUAGGCGGGAGCUUAAGUCAGCGGUUAAAUGGUGCGGCUCAACCGUGCCCUGCCGUUGAAACUGGGUUUCUUGAGAGUGCAAGAGGCGGAUGGAAUUCAUGGUGUAGCGGUGAAAUGCUUAGAUAUCAUGAAGAACUCCGAUUGCGAAGGCAGUCCGCUGGGGCACGUCUGACGCUGAUGCUCGAAGGUGCGGGAAUCAAACAGGAUUAGAUACCCUGGUAGUCCGCACGGUAAACGAUGAUUGCCCGCUGUCGGCGGCAGACAGUCGGCGGCCAAGCGAAAGCGAUAAGUAAUCCACCUGGGGAGUACGCCGGCAACGGUGAAACUCAAAUGAAUUGACGGGG
This 392-nucleotide ribosomal RNA is filed under the name uncultured bacterium. RNAcentral's name for it is "partial 16S ribosomal RNA". It matches the Rfam family "Bacterial small subunit ribosomal RNA", at positions 523 to 918 of the family's 1533-position model. The record is from RNAcentral.